UGAGUAAGGAAGAAAGAUUUGAUACAUCCUUGAUACGCUUUGCUUGAUACAUUUAAAAGAACCUUCAAGAACACAUCUAAAACAAAUUAUAUUGGAAGAACUUGAGGAAAGAACUAAUUUAGAGUUUAAUAUACCUUAGAGUCAAGUUCUUUUAAUUGAAGCUUAACUCUGUCAUUUACAUGCUUAAUGAGCUUAAACUUUAAUGUGCCAAGCAUGAAGGGUUUAAGCAUGUUAUAAUGCGCAGCGGAAGCUAGGAAUUUUAAAAAUUUCUUGAUAAAGUUCCUUAACAUAAAACCCUUAUAAGCCAAGAUCACCUUAAUGGAAGCAAUCAAAUAAUAUAAUAUAAAUACAGAAAUAGAAGAAUACCUCAAACGCUAAUCCAAAGUGUACAAUCUCCACGAGGCGUCCAAGUGUCCGCCCUCCAAUGGUGAUCCACACGAAAACUUGAUCAAGACUUUAGCUCCAAAGACUUUUGAUCCUUAAUGCAGAAUUCUUCUAAAGAACUCUAAUGGCUUGCUUUCCUUCCUUUCUAUUUUCCUUUAGCAUUCUAAAAUCACUUCUAAU
This 564-nucleotide long non-coding RNA is filed under the name Phoenix dactylifera (date palm). Its description in RNAcentral is "long non-coding RNA (PDAC_LNC009211)". Lineage: Eukaryota; Viridiplantae; Streptophyta; Magnoliopsida; Arecales; Arecaceae. The record is from RNAcentral.